This 405-nucleotide ribosomal RNA is filed under the name uncultured bacterium. RNAcentral's name for it is "partial 16S ribosomal RNA". It matches the Rfam family "Bacterial small subunit ribosomal RNA", at positions 33 to 526 of the family's 1533-position model. The record is from RNAcentral.
GACGACGCUGGCGGCGUGCUUAACACAUGCAAGUCGAACGAGUGGCGAACGGGUGAGUAAUACGUGGGAACCUGCCCGAUAGAGGGGGAUAACUACUGGAAACGGUGGCUAAUACCGCAUACUAUCGGAUGAACCCCUAUGGGAUUAGCUAGUAGGUGGGGUAAAGGCUCACCUAGGCGACGAUCUCGAGCGGGUCUGAGAGGAUGAUCAGCCACACGGGGACUGAGACACGGCCCAGACUCCUACGGGAGGCAGCAGGGGGGAAUAUUGCCAAAGGGGCGCAAGCCGGAUGCAGCCAUGCCGCGUGUAUGAAGAAGGCCUUAGGGUUGUAAAGUACUUUCAGCGGGGAGGCGUUACCCGCAGAAGAAGCACCGGCUAACUCCGUGCCAGCAGCCGCGGUAAUAC